This 229-nucleotide unclassified non-coding RNA is filed under the name uncultured fungus. RNAcentral describes it as "sequence contains ITS1, 5.8S rRNA gene". The stretch from base 181 to 229 matches the Rfam family "5.8S ribosomal RNA", at positions 1 to 49 of the family's 154-position model. The record is from RNAcentral. Lineage: Eukaryota; Fungi.
UCUCCGUAGGUGAACCUACGGAGGGAUCAUUACUGAGUGGGGGCUCACGCCCGACCUCCAACCCUUUGUGAACACAUCUUGUUGCUUCGGGGGCGACCCUGCCGGCACUCUGUCGCCGGGCGCCCCCGAAGGUCUCCAAACACUGCAUCGUUGCGUCGGAGUUUAAAACAAAUUAAACAAAACUUUCAACAACGGAUCUCUUGGGUCUGGCAUCGAUGAAGAACGCAGC